Callithrix jacchus (white-tufted-ear marmoset) is the source of this 140-nucleotide small nuclear RNA. Its record names the gene U4. It matches the Rfam family "U4 spliceosomal RNA". From Rfam's summary of the family: U4 small nuclear RNA (U4 snRNA) is a component of the major U2-dependent spliceosome. The structure of U4 snRNA from yeast and human has been reported. NCBI's taxonomy places the organism in Eukaryota, Metazoa, Chordata, Mammalia, Primates, Cebidae. The record is from Ensembl.
AGCUUUGCACAGUGGCAGUAUCGUAGCCAAUGGGUUUAUCCGAGGUGCGAUUAUUGCUAAUUGAAAACUUUUCCCAAUACCCCGCCAUGACGACUUGAAAUAUAGUCGGCAUUGGCAAUUUUUGACAGUCUCUGCGGAGA